Molecule: long non-coding RNA, 129 nt
Organism: Maniola jurtina (meadow brown)
Lineage: Eukaryota; Metazoa; Arthropoda; Insecta; Lepidoptera; Nymphalidae
Exons: 4
Source: RefSeq, a predicted model, not a curated record
UUUUAAAAAUAAAUGAAAUAGUACAUUACUGUCCAGGCCGGAAAUAAAGCAAUUGCCGGCCGAGUAAUAUUGGAAUGACGAGGCGAAGCCGAAAACUUCCCAAAUGAAUUUAAAAGGACGAAACCCCAA